Molecule: small RNA, 129 nt
Filed under: Serratia ureilytica
Lineage: Bacteria; Pseudomonadati; Pseudomonadota; Gammaproteobacteria; Enterobacterales; Yersiniaceae
Also listed under: 2 other names
Description: RtT sRNA
Rfam family: RtT RNA
About the family: This family represents a bacterial cis-regulatory element known as RtT RNA. The exact function of RtT is unknown although it is thought that it may be involved in changing the cellular response in relation to amino acid starvation.
Source: RNAcentral
UUCGCCUGCGGUUUAUGAGGAUGAGCACCUCCGCAGGAGGUUCGAGCCUCGCGAAGCGAGACAACGUUGCUUUAGCAACGGCCCGCAGGACGCGCAUCAAGGAUGCGCGUAAUCCUCUCUCGCCGACCA